UUAGGACGAACGCUGGCGGCGUGCUUAACACAUGCAAGUUGAACGGUCCGGCAUGGAAGCUUGCUGAAGUGUCGGGUAGUAGCGGACGGGUGAGUAAUGCAUGAGAAGCUGCCAUUGGGAGGGGGACAACAGUUGGAAACGGCUGCUAAUACCCCAUAUGCCGGAAGGUGAAACGGAGUGAUCCGCCCGAUGAGGUGCUCAUGUCCUAUCAGCUUGUUGGUGAGGUAACGGCUCACCAAGGCGACGACGGGUAGCCGGCCUGAGAGGGUGACCGGCCACACUGGAACUGAGAUACGGUCCAGACUCCUACGGGAGGCAGCAGUGGGGAAUAUUGGGCAAAUGGGGGCAACCCUGACCCAGCGACGCCGCGUGAGGGAAGACGGCCUUCGGGUUGUAAACCUCUUUUGUACGGGAAGAAGGACGUGACGGUACCGUGCGAAUAAGUCCCGGCUAACUACGUGCCAGCCGCUGC
Molecule: ribosomal RNA, 472 nt
Filed under: uncultured bacterium
Lineage: Bacteria
Description: bacterial SSU rRNA
Rfam family: Bacterial small subunit ribosomal RNA
Source: RNAcentral